GGACUACUGGGGUAUCUAAUCCCGUUCGCUCCCCUAGCUUUCGUUCCUCAGCGUCAGAAAAGACCCAGUGAGCCGCUUUCGCCACCGGUGUUCCUGAUGAUAUCAACGCAUUUCACCGCUCCACCAUCAGUUCCGCUCACCUCUGUCUUCCUCUAGCUAAACGGUUUGAAGCGCAGUUCCUCGGUUGAGCCGAGGGCUUUCACACCUCACCUGUUUAGCCGCCUACGAACUCUUUAAGCCCAGUGAUACCGAAUAACGUUUGGACGGUUCGUCUUACCGCGGCGGCUGGCAC
RNAcentral lists this unclassified non-coding RNA (292 nucleotides) under uncultured fungus. RNAcentral's name for it is "sequence contains ITS1". Lineage: Eukaryota; Fungi. The record is from RNAcentral.